GCAUUGGUAGCUUAGCUGAACAAGCAUCAGUCUUGUAAACUGAGAACGAAGGUUGAAGUCCUUCCCAACGCU
This 72-nucleotide transfer RNA is filed under the name Aphyosemion gabunense (Gabon killifish). RNAcentral describes it as "tRNA-Thr". It matches the Rfam family "tRNA". From Rfam's summary of the family: Transfer RNA (tRNA) molecules are approximately 80 nucleotides in length. Their secondary structure includes four short double-helical elements and three loops (D, anti-codon, and T loops). Lineage: Eukaryota; Metazoa; Chordata; Actinopteri; Cyprinodontiformes; Nothobranchiidae. The record is from RNAcentral.